RNAcentral lists this non-coding RNA (30 nucleotides) under Mus musculus (house mouse). The record is from RNAcentral. Lineage: Eukaryota; Metazoa; Chordata; Mammalia; Rodentia; Muridae.
UGUAAAGUACUGCUGUGCAUUAAAUGUUGU